RNAcentral lists this ribosomal RNA (468 nucleotides) under uncultured bacterium. RNAcentral's name for it is "partial 16S ribosomal RNA". It matches the Rfam family "Bacterial small subunit ribosomal RNA", at positions 28 to 507 of the family's 1533-position model. The record is from RNAcentral.
GACGAACGCUGGCGGCGUGCUUAACACAUGCAAGUCGAACGGAAAGGCCCUGCUUUUGUGGGGUGCUCGAGUGGCGAACGGGUGAGUAACACGAGAGUAACCUGCCCUUGACUUUGGGAUAACUUCAGGAAACUGGGGCUAAUACCGGAUAGGAGCUCCUGCUGCAUGGAGGGGGUGGGAAAGUUUCGGCCGGUGGGGCUGGACUCGCGGCUUAUGAGCUUGCUGGUGGGGGAGUGGCAUACCAAGUCUUUGAACGGUAGGCGGCCGGAGAGGGUGGCCGGGCACCUUGGUCCUGCGGUACGGCCCAGUCUCCUACGGUAGGCAGCGGUGGGGAAUAUUGCCCAACGGGCGGACGCCUGAUGCGGCGACGCCGCGUUCGUGAUGACGGCCUUCGGGUUGUAAACCGCUUUCGGCUGUGACGAAGCGUGAGUGACGGUAAUGGGUAAAGAAGCACCGGCUAACUACGUG